This 1440-nucleotide ribosomal RNA is filed under the name Klebsiella sp. SR-143. RNAcentral describes it as "bacterial SSU rRNA". It matches the Rfam family "Bacterial small subunit ribosomal RNA". Lineage: Bacteria; Pseudomonadati; Pseudomonadota; Gammaproteobacteria; Enterobacterales; Enterobacteriaceae. The record is from RNAcentral.
CAUUGCGCAGGCCUACACAUGCAGUCGAGCGGUAGCACAGAGAGCUUGCUCUCGGGUGACGAGCGGCGGACGGGUGAGUAAUGUCUGGGAAACUGCCUGAUGGAGGGGGAUAACUACUGGAAACGGUAGCUAAUACCGCAUAAUGUCGCAAGACCAAAGUGGGGGACCUUCGGGCCUCAUGCCAUCAGAUGUGCCCAGAUGGGAUUAGCUAGUAGGUGGGGUAACGGCUCACCUAGGCGACGAUCCCUAGCUGGUCUGAGAGGAUGACCAGCCACACUGGAACUGAGACACGGUCCAGACUCCUACGGGAGGCAGCAGUGGGGAAUAUUGCACAAUGGGCGCAAGCCUGAUGCAGCCAUGCCGCGUGUAUGAAGAAGGCCUUCGGGUUGUAAAGUACUUUCAGCGGGGAGGAAGGCGAUAAGGUUAAUAACCUUGUCGAUUGACGUUACCCGCAGAAGAAGCACCGGCUAACUCCGUGCCAGCAGCCGCGGUAAUACGGAGGGUGCAAGCGUUAAUCGGAAUUACUGGGCGUAAAGCGCACGCAGGCGGUCUGUCAAGUCGGAUGUGAAAUCCCCGGGCUCAACCUGGGAACUGCAUUCGAAACUGGCAGGCUAGAGUCUUGUAGAGGGGGGUAGAAUUCCAGGUGUAGCGGUGAAAUGCGUAGAGAUCUGGAGGAAUACCGGUGGCGAAGGCGGCCCCCUGGACAAAGACUGACGCUCAGGUGCGAAAGCGUGGGGAGCAAACAGGAUUAGAUACCCUGGUAGUCCACGCCGUAAACGAUGUCGAUUUGGAGGUUGUGCCCUUGAGGCGUGGCUUCCGGAGCUAACGCGUUAAAUCGACCGCCUGGGGAGUACGGCCGCAAGGUUAAAACUCAAAUGAAUUGACGGGGGCCCGCACAAGCGGUGGAGCAUGUGGUUUAAUUCGAUGCAACGCGAAGAACCUUACCUGGUCUUGACAUCCACAGAACUUAGCAGAGAUGCUUUGGUGCCUUCGGGAACUGUGAGACAGGUGCUGCAUGGCUGUCGUCAGCUCGUGUUGUGAAAUGUUGGGUUAAGUCCCGCAACGAGCGCAACCCUUAUCCUUUGUUGCCAGCGGUCCGGCCGGGAACUCAAAGGAGACUGCCAGUGAUAAACUGGAGGAAGGUGGGGAUGACGUCAAGUCAUCAUGGCCCUUACGACCAGGGCUACACACGUGCUACAAUGGCAUAUACAAAGAGAAGCGACCUCGCGAGAGCAAGCGGACCUCAUAAAGUAUGUCGUAGUCCGGAUUGGAGUCUGCAACUCGACUCCAUGAAGUCGGAAUCGCUAGUAAUCGUAGAUCAGAAUGCUACGGUGAAUACGUUCCCGGGCCUUGUACACACCGCCCGUCACACCAUGGGAGUGGGUUGCAAAAGAAGUAGGUAGCUUAACCUUCGGGAGGGCGCUACCACUUUGAUUCGGG